This is a long non-coding RNA of Nomascus leucogenys (northern white-cheeked gibbon), 2324 nucleotides long. RefSeq lists it as uncharacterized. The record is from RefSeq and is a predicted model, not a curated record. NCBI's taxonomy places the organism in Eukaryota, Metazoa, Chordata, Mammalia, Primates, Hylobatidae. The transcript has 3 exons.
UUAGCUUUGAAGUCCUUUGUUCAGACCUAAUAUCACCCUGGGAUGCAGACACAUAAUCCACAUAGGAAACAGAAAUGUUCUGGAUGAAGCAGUGGGUGGACGCAGGGAAAGCAAAAACGCAGCUCUUUCCCAUGCUCCCAGUCCGUUCAUCUGUUUGUGCUUGAGUGACUUCCAGUGGACACCAACAACCUGAUCAUUCUUCUGUCACCCAUUUUGCAGAUUAGGAAACUAAGUCCUUGAGGGGAUAAGUAAAUUGCCUGAGUACACAUAGUGAGAUGCGGCAGAACAGAAACUCUCUUUCUGUUGUGGGUCAGACUACAGGCUUUAAGGGAAUGAGGUGAAGGCACUCGCUCUUGUCCUGAGACUGAUGGCUCAGUGGAAUAACGACUCAGACUCCAAGCUGGUUGUCCAUGCCCCUAAGCCUCCCCAGCCAAUCAGCUCAUUCCUUCAGUUCCGGGUAAUGGCUCAACUUUUUCCUUUCUGGGUUCCAAAUGAAAACCUCUCUCUGCAGUUCCUGGUAUCAUCUGAAAAGCAAAAAAUAAGGAUUUUCUUUCUUCUCAAUACCAUCUAGCACUUGAAGAAAAACUGCCAGCCAGCCAGAUGUUGAUUCUAUAACCAAAAGGAGCCACAUCCAGACCUGAUAAAGAGAUCAUUUGGUUACCACCCAGAAACCACAGACAUAAGAGUUUUAUGCCAUAAAACUGGAUAAGUUUAUUCUGUAAGACUGGAUAAGACUUUCGGUUGUUUCCAUAGGGACGCACACUGAGAGAGCUAAAUACCAAUGACCGUAAGUGGUAUCCUUAGUACUGCUCACAAAAUAUUUCUAAUUCUCUCAUACUCACUUACAUGGAGGAUUAUAAUGUCUUGGUCUCUUUUGCAUGGAUGGGCCAUGUGACUGGAUCUGACCAAUGAGUUUGAGCAGAAGCAACGUUUUACUUCCAGAUUGACUUCAAUAAAGGAAAACGCUCUGCCUCACAUGGUUUCUUCAGAAAAGCCCUGUGGAAUCUACCUGUUGAAAUAAGGACAUCUAGCUGCUUCUACAGCUUUAAUUACUAAAAAAAGAAAAGAUCCCAUGCAAUACUGAGAUAUGUUAUAUAUUUUUUUAAAUGACUGCUUCUUAUGAGAGAAGAUAAUGUUGCAUAACCAAGACCUGAAAUUCAAUUCUCAUCUAUGGUAACUCUGGCUGUUUCAAUUAUGUGAAAUCAUGUUCAUCAACAAUUUGACAGAGAAAAGCAAAAGAAAAUUAUUUCGUGUCUUCUAACAGCUGCAGAUUUGUGAGCAGAGAGCAAAUGACAGGAGUAUAUUUGGAUCAGAGUGUGAAGAUGUGCUUAAUUCCAUUCCAACACUCAUUCUCAGCCCCAUUUUUAACAUAUAAGAAUUCAUUCUCAUGUACACCAACCAGAUCCAGACUUCCAUGGGAUUUACUACCAUGAAAGAUGGUGGAGGUUAUUAUGACAUAAACCCUUACUCCAAAUAUCCAACCUACGAGAUAAGUUUCCUAAUUCAUACAACACUCUAUCCUGUUUCAAGCAUAAUUAAAAUAUCUUUCUUUAUUCCAAAAUCAAGAUAUUCCAUGGUGAUGAGAAUGAGAACCACCCAUUCUGGCUUGGAUGGUCUCCAUUUUAAAUGUUGUGUAGGAAGAUUAUCCAAGUAUAUACCUACUUGUCAGGUUGUACUUCAAUUUUUAAUUUUGAUCCCAUGGUCACCAUAGCUGUGGGUCAUAAACUGAUUUUAGUGAUGGUCCUGGCAAUAUCUUUCUCAGUUUAUAUUUACUCAAUAACAUAUAUCAAUUAGAAAUUUAUUCCGUCAGCCAAUAUUGUAAAUAUUUAUUGUGUGCUUAUUAGGUGUCAGGUUCUGUGCCAUGAUUUGGAGACACAAUGAAAAACAAAAUACAACAUCAACCCUCUAGAAAAGAGGUCAACUAACUUUUCUGCAAAGAGCCAAGUAGUAAAUCUUUUAGGCUUGUGGACCAUAUUGUUUCUAUCACAGCUAUGCAACUGUGCCAUUGUAACGGGAAAGUAGCCAUAGGAAUAUAAACAAAUGUGCCUGGUUAUGUCCCAAUAAAACUUUAUUUCAAAAAGCAGGUGGCAAGACUAGAUGUGGCCCAUCCAUCAUAGUUUUCCAACCCCUGCUGUAAUUGCCUAGAGUCUAGAGCAGUACCAUCUAAUAAGAACACAAUGCAAGGCAUAAAUGUGAGCCAUAGAUAUACUUUUAAACUUUCAGUUAGACACACUUUGAAAAGUAAAAAGCAAUGAGUGGGGUUAAUUUUAAUAAGAUGUUUUAUUUGACUGGGUAUAUCCCAAAUAUUAUCACGUAAACAAGUA